Quercus lobata is the source of this 712-nucleotide long non-coding RNA. RefSeq lists it as uncharacterized. NCBI's taxonomy places the organism in Eukaryota, Viridiplantae, Streptophyta, Magnoliopsida, Fagales, Fagaceae. The transcript is spliced from 3 exons. The record is from RefSeq and is a predicted model, not a curated record.
CAAGCCAAUUUCAAGCUAUUUGCUCCAUUUGUCUCUGUGUUUUUAACUAAAGAGCUCUUCUGCCUCUCUCUGGGGUUGCACUAUUUUGCAUUUUCGCCAAGGUUAUGGCCCAGCUGGAUCUACUUUAUUUGUAGCGGUUUAUGCAGGACUGGAAGUAUGCACCUGGAACUCUUUCUUGAGUAUAGUGCAUUUUAUUUUCAGCAAUACAUUUCAGCCUUAAUAUGGAUAAAAAAUAUAGUCUAGUUGUGAUGCAACCGUAGAAGUUUAAUUUAUUACUUUUUGAUAAAUUCACCAAUUCAAGACUUAUUUUAUGGGGUCCACAUGUGGAGUUUUGUUGUUUUAACGGUCUAGUUAUAUGUGUCUGAGUGUUAGGUUUUUUAACUUAAUUAUGUUGUUCUGAUUUCGGUUUUUUGUUUUUUAGGAUUUUGUUUUCAUUUCUUUAAGUUUAUUAAUCUAAUUGGCUCCUCUAGCUAGUGUUAAGGUAAUUAGAUGUUAUUGAGGUUGUAUUAAGUGGGAUAAUAAGUAUUAAGUCUAAGUGGGUUGUUGUUACGAGCUUGCAUAGAUUGAGUAUGUUGGAUUGGUUUACAAGUGGGGAUUAAUUUUGGUUGAGAGAUAUAAGAAGAGUAAAGUUUGCUUUGAGGAAAACUAGUGCAUAAACUUUCACUCCCUUUUCUUUUAGCCGAACCUCAAAUCUCAACACCACAAAAUCAUU